Long non-coding RNA from Phyllostomus discolor (pale spear-nosed bat), 457 nucleotides. RefSeq lists it as uncharacterized. The record is from RefSeq and is a predicted model, not a curated record. The transcript is spliced from 2 exons. NCBI's taxonomy places the organism in Eukaryota, Metazoa, Chordata, Mammalia, Chiroptera, Phyllostomidae.
UGGCAAAUAAGAAAAAACCCGUUUUUAGACUGACAAUGUAUUACAAGUUACUUGAGAAGUUCAAUAUUUCUCUAGUGAUAAAGUCCUUUAAUAUUACUUGCAGACAUUCCUUCAGGAGUUCUUUAUUUUACACUUCCCUAAGCACUUGUACACACAUAAUUACCUCAUUAAAAAAGAAACAUUUUAAAAAUCAAAAAGGUAAAAACAAAAAGUCCAUGAAAACGUCAUCGCCUUAAAGCUAUGAUGUUUAUCUCAAACACUGAAGAUAAUUUCAAACACCUAAAUAUCCAUCAACAACACAUUUCUAAAACAGAAUUCUAUAAAAAAAUGUCCAGUGCAAUACUAAGAUUGUGAUAAGACAUACUUGUUUACAAUACAUUGGGGGGGGGGGGGAGAACCCGCCAAACAAGAUAAUCACAUUUUACAAAACAUGCAUGUUCAUCUAUGCACAAAGGGG